GUGCUCGCUUCGGCAGCACAUACACUAAAAUUGGAACAACACAGAAGAUUAGCACUGUCCUUGCACAAAGAUGACACACAAAUUUGUGAAGCGUUCCAUAUUUUU
Small nuclear RNA from Camelus dromedarius (Arabian camel), 105 nucleotides. The record is from Ensembl. Lineage: Eukaryota; Metazoa; Chordata; Mammalia; Artiodactyla; Camelidae.